GAUGAACGCUAGCUACAGGCUUAACACAUGCAAGUCGAGGGGCAGCAUGACGAUAGCUUGCUAUUGUUGAUGGCGACCGGCGCACGGGUGAGUAACGCGUAUCCAACCUGCCCUUGUCCAUCGGAUAACCCGUCGAAAGGCGGCCUAACACGAUAUGCAGUUCUCAGCAGGCAUCUAACGAGAACGAAAUGUAAAGGAGAAGGAUGGGGAUGCGUCUGAUUAGCUUGUUGGCGGGGUAACGGCCCACCAAGGCGACGAUCAGUAGGGGUUCUGGGAGGAAGGUCCCCCACAUUGGAACUGAGACACGGUCCAAACUCCUACGGGAGGCAGCAGUGAGGAAUAUUGGUCAAUGGGCGAGAGCCUGAACCAGCCAAGUAGCGUGCAGGAUGACGGCCCUAUGGGUUGUAAACUGCUUUUAUGCGGGGAUAAAGUGAGCCACGUGUGGCUUAUUGCAGGUACCGCAUGAAUAAGGACCGGCUAAUUCCGUGCCAGCCGCCGCCGUAA
Molecule: ribosomal RNA, 504 nt
Filed under: uncultured bacterium
Lineage: Bacteria
Description: partial 16S ribosomal RNA
Rfam family: Bacterial small subunit ribosomal RNA
Source: RNAcentral